CUCAUCAGUGUGUUUUAAGAAGUGAUGAAGCUCAUAAUUUACUGUCUGGGAAUAUUAACUUGUAUGGCUCAUGCCUUAUAAUGCUCGGCGGCAAUGCAAAACAAGCACCGUUUCUUCAAAGAUUCUUCUUCAACUUGAAUCUUCAACCUGAGUUUAAGCCACACCUCUGCCUGCUGGGAAUAGCUCCAUCUAGAGACAGCUUUUCUCCCCCUUUCCUGGGCCAACAUUUUCUUGCCAAUAAUGGCUUCCUGUCCUGAUGAGGAGAGUUGUUUUGAGAACUUGGCAAAUGGGGAGGCAACAGGCAAGAGAAAUGGAAGCUUGACAACUCAGGCUCCAUGCUACUGAAGAAGUAUUGAGACAAUUUUGAUAUAUUUUUGGAAGAAAAGGGCUUCAAGCAACAGAGUGCAGAGAGGUAAGGCAGAGGAGGGAGGCAGGUUUUCCUCCUCCACGUGCUCCUUUUCAUCUGACAAAUGGGCCGCAUCCACUCCUGCUUUGACUGUGGGUAAAAUCGUCGGGUUCCUGCAUCGCAUCUAUCUUGGCCCUUUUGGUCUUCCAAUAUGUCCAAAUGACUGAAUGAAUGUAUUGUUUUGUGCUCUCUGUUUUCUGGAAUCGUAGGAAGUUCCAGGGCAGGGCAGCCUUUGAGCAAGGUCAGCUUCCUCGUGAGCAGAGAGAGUGCUGGAGACAGAUGGUGUUUUUGUCAUAUCAGUUUGUUUACAAAUAUACAUGCUGAGCAGAAGGAUGAUCAUCUUUAAAGUACCAUUGUCUUCAAAGUACUAUCAAGUUCCACAAAAAUAACAGCAUGUCCAGGCUGCCACUUACCAGGCGGCUGCAAAUGCUGUUUCUCUAAUGUUAUUUAUCAAAUGUGAAGGGUCCUAAACCUAUGUUGAUAGUGUAAUGCUAAUUAGAGAUUUGCAUGGAAUGAAUUUUUUGAUUUAUCUCAAAUUCAAAUCGAAUUCUGAAAAUUCAUUUUGAAUUCAAAUUAAAUUUGAAUUGAUUUGACCCUGUUUUAGCACCUUUUUUAACCAAUCAGGGGGGCUGAAUUGUUUUUAAAAGGUGCCAAACAGCUCUUGAAUAUUUGAAUUUGAAUAGGAUUUCAAAAAUUCAAUUAGAAUUUGAAUUAAAUUGCCCUUUUAAGGGGUGAUUUGCUUCAAAUUCAAAUCACUCAAAUCACCCAGAUUCAAGUCGAAUCUAUUCAAAUUUGAAUCGAUUUGCACAUCCCUAAUGCUAAUGUCAAAGACUGCAAGGGAGGAAUGCUGGGUGGAAGGGAAUGCUUAACCUUUUCACACCCUCCAAUUCUCUACCACAGAGGUUCCCAAUCUUGGGGCCCCAGAUGUUCUUGGACUACAGCUCCCAUUAUCCCCAGCUACAAAAGCUUCACGACUGAUGAUGAUGGGAGUUGUAGUCCACCAGCAUCUGGGGACCCAAGUUUGGGAACUCCUGCUCUACUACAAGCCCUUCCUUUAAUAUCUCCUGUGUUUCCAGUAAGGGUCCUCUGCCAUAUCAAUUCUAGAUGUUUUGGGAUAAAAUGCAUUGUUUGGAUCCAUUUCCAUCUGGCCUCCGGCUAUGAUUCAGAAUGGGCUGUGCAUCGGAUGCUCCAGUCUUGAUGAGUUUUCAAUACCCCCGGUCAUGUAUAAGCAGCCAUUCCCAGUGUGGUCAUCUCUUCUGUUGUAGCUGAAGCCUGUACAACCAUCUGGAAAGGCACAUGGGGAUAUCAGGAAGAUAGUCAAGGAUGCUGGGAAGGUGCACUGGGACGUCUGGGAAAUGUAGAUCCACCCCAUAGAAAAGUGCUGGAAGGAACUACACUUCCCAAAUAUACUCGCCAGUGUUCCUUGUAACAAGGAUUCCUAAAUGUUGUUGAUUACAACUCCCAGCAUCCCAGCUUGGCUGGGGAACACUGAUCCCUAAGUGCCUUCCUGACAUUUAUUUAUUUAUUUGAACUUCUUACAUACCACCUCCUCCAAAGACUCUAGGUGGUGAACAACAAAAAGGCCAACAACAAUCAAUUUUUUUAAAAAAAAUUAUUAGAGGGCAAACACCUGGCAAAACAGGUCUGUCUUAACUUAAGAAGGGCCUCAAAAGCAGCCAGGGAGGGGGCUGGACGAAUCUGGGGGUGGGGAGAGUGUUCCAAAGAAGAGGGGUGGCCACAGAAAAGGCCCUCCUAUGGGCCCAGGUUCAUUUCCAUAUGCCUUCCCAACCAGCCCCACAAGUUCCAGUUUCAGUAGAAGAGAGCCCCCUGCUCCCCACCCAGCACCAGAAGUGUGAGGAACAGUACUAAGAUCCAUGCUGGAAGCAGCCACAUCUGUGCACUCCAGCACCUGUGUAUUAUGUAUGUGAGCACACUACAAAUUCAUCAUGAUCAGAGUGUUCUUUACACAGACUUACUUUAAGGGAAAAGACUGCUUUGAUUGCCCUGAUAAAUGACCUGUACCAAGAGAGAGAGAUGGAGGGAGUGUGUCCCUAGUCAUUUUCCUGGAUCUUUCUGUUUACUCAGGAUUUUAAAAUUUGAUUUUUUAAAAUUGACUUUUAAAAAAAGAUUUAAAAUUGUUUUGUACUGUAUUUUGUAUUCUUUUUUGUGUUGUGAUUUGAUGUGUUUUAUGUUUUUAUUGGAUGUUUUAAUGUUAUGUGGUGAGCCACCCAGAGAACAGUUUGUUAUGUGGUGGCUAACAAAUAAAGUUUAUGGUGGUGGUGAUUGUUAAAAAUAAUCUCUCUCUAGUGUUACCAAGAUAGCCUGUUCCGGGAGCUCUCUGGAGCUCCCCAACAUCAGAUUUGGAGGUACAGGCUUGUAGUUCCCAUUUCGUCUCUCUGAACUCACGAGAUCGUGGGCUCACCAUUUGCUUACAUGUGCUAACUCAUAAGGGUAUGUCACUUGGGAGGUAGCAUGGGGAAAGGUAACUCUAGGUCAAGCCUAACCUGCAACUGAAAGAGGACUAUUCCUCUGCUCUCCUCUCUGAUUCCAGCACAGGUGAGGAAGCCAGUGAGGAAGUACUUAAUUAAGUGCUCUUCUCUUAACAAACAGAAUAGCCAAAUACUAUGUUGGCAUAUCAGAUUAGCUUUGAGCUUAUCGCCUUCGCAGGAAGGAAUAAGAUAAGAGGUAACAGGCUCAUCUCUCUCUAGCAGAAGCAUUAAUGGGUGACCCGAGGCUUGGGAGGUACGCUUUUUAAAACGUUCCAGCACCUAUCAAGGUCUUCCUGACCACACGCGAUAAGCUCUAAUGUGCCCAUUCCCUCCAUCCUGCACAGGUUUCACAGACCUAUUCACUUCAUUGUGCUUCUAGAGCCCGCCCACCCAAGUUUGAACAAAAUGUAUUAUUUUGUCCAUCAGGAUGUUACCCUUUUCAGCAGAAGGGUGUGGUCACCAUUUGGCCCCAGGGCACGUUGUGGCCUAUUUUUGUCCUUGAGACCCCAGAGCAGUCUUCUCUGGAUUCACCUGUUGCAUGUCUGUGCAUCUGGACUGCUAUACUACCUUGCUGAGCCUGGGCUCUCUGUGCCCAUCCCGCUCUUCACCUCCAGACCGGCUGUUUCCAAGCCUGAUCUGAAACCAGGCCUCCUUGGGACUUCUUCUGGCUUCAUGAUCCGCUGGGGAUACACGGGUCCCUGCUCCUGCAUCCUGCCUCCCUGACUGUACCUGAGGAAUGAGGCCCCUCAACAUCGGCUGAGCAACAAGUGUCCAUACACACCAAUGGAAGGAAGUGAAGUAUACUAAUCCCUGCUCUGAAAUCUCUUGCUCCCCUAUCUUCCUGCUCCCCUUUAAAGUCUGUUCUCGAAGACCAAUCUCUGGUCAGUCUUGAGUGGAUUUAAUUCAGAUCUCAAGCUAAAAUGCCUCUUCCUGGGCUUCAAUUUAGUCCUAUGUAUUGAGUUAUUAGCCUUGUUAGUUUUACUAGUUAAUAUUGUGUGGCUUAUUAAUUAAAAUGUCUCUUCUGUACCCCUAAACCCUCAAAUAAACCUGAUUGCAUUUGAA
This is a long non-coding RNA of Hemicordylus capensis (graceful crag lizard), 3957 nucleotides long. RefSeq lists it as uncharacterized. The transcript is spliced from 3 exons. NCBI's taxonomy places the organism in Eukaryota, Metazoa, Chordata, Lepidosauria, Squamata, Cordylidae. The record is from RefSeq and is a predicted model, not a curated record.